This 397-nucleotide ribosomal RNA is filed under the name uncultured Methanosaeta sp. RNAcentral describes it as "bacterial SSU rRNA". It matches the Rfam family "Archaeal small subunit ribosomal RNA", at positions 943 to 1338 of the family's 1478-position model. The record is from RNAcentral. Lineage: Archaea; Methanobacteriati; Methanobacteriota; Methanomicrobia; Methanotrichales; Methanotrichaceae.
CAAUAUAGAAGGUCAGGCUGAAGACCUUACCCGAUUAGCUGAGAGGUGGUGCAUGGCCGUCGUCAGUUCGUACUGUGAAGCAUCCUGUUAAGUCAGGCAACGAGCGAGACCCACGUCCACAGUUGCCAGCAUACCCUCCGGGGUGAUGGGUACACUGUGGAGACCGCCGCUGCUAAAGCGGAGGAAGGAGUGGGCAACGGUAGGUCAGUAUGCCCCGAAUCUCCCGGGCUACACGCGGGCUACAAUGGUUGGUACAAUGGGCAUCUACCCCGAAAGGGGAAGGAAAUCUCUUAAAGCCAAUCGUAGUUCGGAUUGAGGGCUGCAACUCGCCCUCAUGAAGCUGGAAUCCGUAGUAAUCGCGUUUCAACAGAACGCGGUGAAUACGUCCCUGCUCCUU